UACGGGGGGGGGCUAGCGUUGUUCGGAAUUACUGGGCGUAAAGCGCACGUAGGCGGCUUUGUAAGUUAGAGGUGAAAGCCCGGAGCUCAACUCCGGAAUAGCCUUUAAGACUGCAUCGCUAGAACGUUGGAGAGGUAAGUGGAAUUCCGAGUGUAGAGGUGAAAUUCGUAGAUAUUCGGAAGAACACCAGUGGCGAAGGCGACUUACUGGACAACUGUUGACGCUGAGGUGCGAAAGCGUGGGGAGCAAACAGG
This 254-nucleotide ribosomal RNA is filed under the name uncultured Sphingosinicella sp. Its description in RNAcentral is "partial 16S ribosomal RNA". It matches the Rfam family "Bacterial small subunit ribosomal RNA", at positions 524 to 776 of the family's 1533-position model. The record is from RNAcentral. Lineage: Bacteria; Pseudomonadati; Pseudomonadota; Alphaproteobacteria; Sphingomonadales; Sphingosinicellaceae.